CAAGAGGAAGGCGUGUCUGACUCUGCUCAGAUGCGUCGUCCGCAUCGCAGAAACAAAGGAGACAGCCGCGGCGGCGGCGUCAUCCGCCUGUGGCGGCCUCGCUAGGCCCCCUGCACCCCGCGCUCGCCCACGCCAGACGUCACCACCGCCCCAUCUUACCCCUCCCUGCUCCUGCUCUCUCCGUCGGGACUCCGAGCAGAUCGAGGCCGGAGAGGAGGAUGAGAAGAACACGCCAGAUACCAACGCCGCACACCGUGCUGCCCCUGGCGUGGAGCCGCGAGCAGGCCCAGGGUCACCGAAGCCUGGUG
RNAcentral lists this unclassified non-coding RNA (308 nucleotides) under Zea mays. RNAcentral describes it as "misc RNA Zm00001eb262940". Lineage: Eukaryota; Viridiplantae; Streptophyta; Magnoliopsida; Poales; Poaceae. The record is from RNAcentral.